GCCCAUACCUGCCCUAAAGGCACCAGAUCCCAUCUGAUCAUGGGAGCUAAGCAGGGUUAGCCCUAGUUAGUACUUGGAUGGAGGAUCACUAACAAAUAUCAGGUCAUGUAGGCU
Molecule: ribosomal RNA, 114 nt
Filed under: Anolis carolinensis (green anole)
Lineage: Eukaryota; Metazoa; Chordata; Lepidosauria; Squamata; Anolidae
Source: RNAcentral